UUUCCGUAGGUGAACCUGCGGAAGGAUCAUUACUGUAUAACCAAUGUGCGAGGGCUGUCCCUGACCCGCGAGGCUGUCCAUGUCUGAGUGCCUUCACACACAUCCAUCUCCCCCCUAUGCGCACCCCCGCGUGGCUCCCCCUUUGGCUCUGUAGGAGGGGGGCUUACGUUUUAACAAAAACUUUGUAUGCAGUGAAGACUGUAUUUUAUGUUUUUGCUAUCACGCACACCAUACAACUAUCAACAACGGCUCUCUUGGCUCCCGCAUCGCUGAAGAAAG
RNAcentral lists this unclassified non-coding RNA (279 nucleotides) under plant metagenome. RNAcentral's name for it is "partial contains small subunit ribosomal RNA, internal transcribed spacer 1, and 5.8S ribosomal RNA". The record is from RNAcentral.